This 490-nucleotide ribosomal RNA is filed under the name uncultured bacterium. Its description in RNAcentral is "bacterial SSU rRNA". It matches the Rfam family "Bacterial small subunit ribosomal RNA", at positions 28 to 513 of the family's 1533-position model. The record is from RNAcentral.
GAUGAACGCUGGCGGCGUGCUUAACACAUGCAAGUCGAACGGGAAUGUUUCGCUGAUGCGAUUUCGGUCAAAUCUUGAAGCAUUUUAGUGGCGGACGGGUGAGUAACGCGUGGGUAACCUGCCCUGUACAGGGGGACAACAGUUGGAAACGACUGCUAAUACCGCAUAAUGUACAUUGAUGGCAUCUUCGAUGUACCAAAGCUUUUGCGCUGAAGGAUGGGCUCGCGUCUGAUUAGAUAGUUGGUGGGGUAAUGGCCUACCAAGUCGACGAUCAGUAGCCGGACUGAGAGGUUGAACGGCCACAUUGGGACUGAGACACGGCCCAGACUCCUACGGGAGGCAGCAGUGGGGGAAUAUUGCACAAUGGGCGCAAGCCUGAUGCAGCAACGCCGCGUGGAGGAAGACGGUUUUCGGGUUGUAAACUUCUUUUAAGAGGGAAGAGCAGAAGACGGUACCUCUAGAAUAAGCCACGGCUAACUACGUGCCAGCA